This 74-nucleotide transfer RNA is filed under the name Liberibacter crescens BT-1. It matches the Rfam family "tRNA". From Rfam's summary of the family: Transfer RNA (tRNA) molecules are approximately 80 nucleotides in length. Their secondary structure includes four short double-helical elements and three loops (D, anti-codon, and T loops). Lineage: Bacteria; Pseudomonadati; Pseudomonadota; Alphaproteobacteria; Hyphomicrobiales; Rhizobiaceae. The record is from Rfam by way of RNAcentral.
GCACUCGUAGCUCAGCUGGAUAGAGUAACGGACUUCGAAUCCGAAGGUCGCAGGUUCGAAUCCUGCCGAGUGCG